RNAcentral lists this ribosomal RNA (257 nucleotides) under uncultured Glomus. Its description in RNAcentral is "partial 18S ribosomal RNA". It matches the Rfam family "Eukaryotic small subunit ribosomal RNA", at positions 624 to 886 of the family's 1831-position model. Lineage: Eukaryota; Fungi; Glomeromycota; Glomeromycetes; Glomerales; Glomeraceae. The record is from RNAcentral.
AAGCUCGUAGUUGAAUUUCGGGAUUAGUACGUUGGUCGUGCCUUAGGUACGUACUGGUGUUACUGGUUCCUACCUUCUGACGAACCAUCAUGUCAUUAAUUUGGUGUGGUGGGGAAUCAGGACUGUUACUUUGAAAAAAUUAGAGUGCUUAAAGCAGGCUCGCGCUUGAAUACAUUAGCAUGGAAUAAUGAAAUAGGACGUUGAUCCUAUUUUGUUGGUUUCUAGGAUUGACGUAAUGAUUAAUAGGGAUAGUUGGG